CUUUUAUUGGAUAUUGACCGCCACAUAUCGCGCGUUUAUUGAAUGUUAAUUUCGUGCACCUAAUUAACGUCAACCUUCAAUAAAAUCGCGACACGUGACGGUCAACGUUC
Molecule: non-coding RNA, 110 nt
Organism: Glycine soja
Lineage: Eukaryota; Viridiplantae; Streptophyta; Magnoliopsida; Fabales; Fabaceae
Source: Rfam